This 1601-nucleotide long non-coding RNA is filed under the name Mytilus galloprovincialis (Mediterranean mussel). The record is from RNAcentral. Lineage: Eukaryota; Metazoa; Mollusca; Bivalvia; Mytilida; Mytilidae.
UUAACUAAAAUUUUCAUUAUUUAACUUACAUUAUGCCAUGCGUAUUUCUUACGAUGAACAUAACUAGUUCAUUCAUUCACCUCUUUGUUUCAUAUUUUCCUCAGAAUGAACUUCCAAUAAAUUAAUAAAAUUAUAUCUGUCCAAUUGCAGACAAUAGCAGGCGUUAUUUUUCUUCUCAUAUGAUUUUCAAUCGAAUUGCCUUGAUAACAUGACUUCAACAACUGUUUCAAUUUGUUUGCGGGGCACUAUCAAUUAUGACUAUAUUCGGUAAUUUCCGCUAAAGAAACCCGAAGUUUACCGAAUCAUCUCAUCAACAUCAAACAUUUUCAUCAUCAAACAUCGUCAUCACCAUCACCGAUCAUCACCUUCAUCAACAAAAAACGUAUAAUGUUGUGAGCACUUCAUAUAAUGUCGUGGACACUUCAUUUAAUGUUGUGACCACUGCAUAUAAUGUUUGAAUCACAGCGUAUAAUGUUGUGAGCACGUCAUAUAAUGUUGUGAGCACUGCAUAUAAUGCUGAUCAUUAACAUAAGGAAGCCAUGGCGGUCCAUAAAUACGUGUAGUAUUCGAACUGUGAUAUGUAUUUAAAAAAGAAAUAAACACUUUCGUAUAUACAUUAGUUUGACUUUUUAUUUAAAAUAGUAACACAUCUUGUAAGCCUUCUGUUAAAACUACAGUAGAUAAAUAGACCCCUUUUAGAAGAUAAUUGUAUUACUGAAGGCAAAACUGGACUUUCUUAUCGCUCUACCAAUUAAUAGAAUUAUCCCCAAUGCUCUUCAACUUUGUACUUGUUUGGCUUUAUAAAUAUUUUGAUAUGAGCGUCACUGAUGAGUCUUAUGUAGACAAAACGUGCGUCUGUCGUACCAAAAUUAUAAUCCUGGUACCUUUGAUAACUAAAGGCAACAUAUUAUAUUCCGUUUUUUUGUUUUUUUUUUUAUUUCUGAUUGCAUAAUUAAACUUUUAUUUGUAAGAAAAGAAGUUUAGAUAUAGUAUAAAUAUUCAAAUCUUUCCAAAACCACUUAAUUGAUAUAUUAAUCUUAAAAGUCAUUACUGUUAUUUUGAAAAGCAAUAGUAUAACAUCGCAUACCAAUGAUACUUUAUUUAAAAAAGAAAUACAGUUUAAAGGAAGCAUACACAUAAUAAAAAAUAAUUUUGUACGCACUCAUAAUCAUGAUAAUACGAAUUUUUACAAAAUAUUAUUGAGUAAUACAACAUAAUAUUAAAAAGGUGACAUGACAUACAUAAUGCAUAAUACAAUAUACAAAAUACGAACGGAGAAAGAUAUUAUAUGUUACUCAUGUCUCAGACAGGGAAGAUACUGUGACAUUCCCGGUUUAGAGUUUAUAUCCCCCGAGACGAAGGCGAAGGGGAUAUAAGCCUUAAGCCGGAAAUGACACAGUAUAUACCCUGUCUGAGACCUGAAUUACACAUAUAUGACGGAUUAUCCCUGACCUGUUAUUUUCCAGUGUAGGUAUUUGUUGAACAUUCACAAUGCAACAUAUUCAUUACAUGUUUAUUGUGUUUUUUAAUAUUUUGAGUAAUCCAUUUAUAUGCACCUUUUAUAUCUUGUUAAAUUUUUUCCCCAUUAAAAAUACUUUCAA